UGGGGAAUAUUGGGCAAUGGGCGCAAGCCUGACCCAGCAACGCCGCGUGAGGGAAGAAGGUUUUCCGAUUGUAAACCUCUGUCCUGGGGGCCGAAAAAAAUGACGUUACCCCGGGAGGAAGCCCCGGCUAACUACGUGCCAGCAGCCGCGGUAAUACGUAGGGGGCGAGCGUUGUCCGGAAUUACUGGGCGUAAAGGGUGCGUAGGCGGCAUGUUAAGUUGGAUGUGAAAUACCCGGGCUCAACCUGGGGGGUGCAUCCAAAACUGGCAAGCUAGAGUGCAGGAGAGGAAAGCGGAAUUCCUAGUGUAGCGGUGAAAUGCGUAGAUAUUAGGAGGAACACCAGUGGCGAAGGCGGCUUUCUGGACUGCAACUGACGCUGAUGCACGAAAGCGUGGGGAGCAAACAGG
RNAcentral lists this ribosomal RNA (407 nucleotides) under uncultured prokaryote. RNAcentral's name for it is "bacterial SSU rRNA". It matches the Rfam family "Bacterial small subunit ribosomal RNA", at positions 355 to 776 of the family's 1533-position model. The record is from RNAcentral. RNAcentral also lists the same sequence under 1 other name.